UCUGGAAGGGAAGAAAUAGAAGAAGGAAGCUCUCAAAAACUCAAAGGACAUAGUCCAAGUCUGAAGUUAAUGGGAUUUCCAUGCAUUUGUGACCUUCCCUUAAUCCUGUAGCCAACAACCUGAACCCUUGUCCCUGAUCAUGCCUGAAUAAAAAAGGAUAUUUAUGAUAAAAUUUAACAGAGCAUUGCAGUAAAGAAGCAAGUUGAAAUCAGAACUAGAAUAAAAGCCCAUUUGAAAGGGAUAUUUUGUUAAUAAUACAUGAGAAAUGUGCAUAAUACUUUUUCUGUCUGUACUGGUAAGCCACAAAGGUAAGACUUUCUGAAAUUGCUUUCACAAUUUCUCCUAUAGGGUAAAAUAGGACAGAGCACCUUGAGAUGUCCCUCAGAAGCACUGAACGGAUACAUAUUAAUGAAAGGAUUACGUUCCCAGUGCAGGACAGCAGAAGACAGACAUCACUGUUACGCCUUAGAAGCUGAGUAACUACAUCAGUUGCGAAUUUGUAUGACAAAUUCCACAGCCAGAGAACACACCUGUGCUCACCCAGAGGAUGAUAAGAGCUCCUAAGAGAACAGCCCUUCUGCAGAAGCUCCCCUGCCAGCUCUCUGCUCCUGGUGACCCUCAACAGGAGGUGGCCUCUGCCAGGAAAUGACUCUGGAAUCACUCACAUGGGAGGAUGUGUCUGAUGUAAAGCUUGGAAGCCUUUCCAAGAUGAUGGUGAUAAUUAUUAUUACCAUCUACAUUCUCCCUCACAUAAAAGUGGAGUCCCUCAGGAGGACCCCGGCACAGGUGCACACUGCUGUGGGGGAUGGAGCUGUGCCCUGCUGCACCUAAGAGGUGGAGGUGAAUUCAAUAAGCAUAAGCAGCAAGAGUGGAUAUGCAAGUUGAAGGUCUGUAACAAACCCAACAGCAAAAAGCACUUGAUAAAAUAACAAAGUACCACCGGGCAGAGGUAGGUGCGAAGGAGCAGCUGGCUGCAUGUGUGACACAUGGGAAGCAAGUACAAGAAGUCAACUCUGUCAAGAGCAGGGCAGGUGCCCCUGUGCCUUUGAAAAGAAGAAAGGAAGAAAACACCACCAAGGAAGGGGGAAAAUGAAGUGGAAAAGAAGGUACCCAACAGCAUUGAUGGCUGCCUGCAUCAAAUGGCCUGCAAAGCCACUCACCUUAGAAGUGGAUCAAACCCCAGCAGGGCUGCUCUCUGCCAUUUUAUACCCACAGCUAAUUUGGGAUGCGCUUGUUAAGGACUAAUUGUUUACCUGUGUGGGGAGGGUGGUUAAGAAGUGAGCUGUGGUGAUGUAUUUUGUUAACGAAUGCCAGCUCUGUGAAGUAAAGUCUUGCUUUGAAGCUUAAA
Long non-coding RNA from Oxyura jamaicensis (ruddy duck), 1348 nucleotides. RefSeq lists it as uncharacterized. The record is from RefSeq and is a predicted model, not a curated record. NCBI's taxonomy places the organism in Eukaryota, Metazoa, Chordata, Aves, Anseriformes, Anatidae. The transcript has 2 exons.